UCAUUCAAUGGGAUAUUUUUAUGGCAUGUAGGGGUGCCACUAUGAGGUCCCAUGAAGAAGUAUGCAAAAAAAGAACUUAUUUUUUUGCAAAACUCUAGAUUUUAAAAUCUUAAGAUUUAUUGUAUGUGAUGCAAAUUGUAUAAAAAGUAAUAACAUGUAAUCUUAAUGAUUAAAAUUAUUUAAAUAAGAUUUAUGAUUAUAAAUAAUUUAGAUAUGAUCUAAAAAGAUUUUAUGAUUUAAUGUAAAAUAUUUACAUGAGAAAUAGUUUCAAAAACUUAAUUUUAACCCAUGUUGAUGCUAAACUUAAUUAAGAAUUAAGUGUAGAAUCGAUUAGAUCUAAAAUUAUGAUUUAAGAUCUAAUGAUAUUGCAUAAAAUAUGGAGGCAUGGGUUAGCUUAAAUUAGAUCCUCUUAAUUGGGUUAAACCUAGGGUCAGAAUCAAAGAGUUAAUAGACUAUGUAGAGAAAUUGAUUAAAUCUAACUAAAUAUUGAAUUAGAUUAAAUUAAAAUUUUCUCUAGAAUCAAUAUAAUAGUUAUAGAUGGUCAAGUCCAUAUCUUUGAUUAGACCAAAUAGACCUUGAUUGAGGCUCAGUGGUUGAACUCGAGUC
Molecule: long non-coding RNA, 606 nt
Filed under: Elaeis guineensis (African oil palm)
Lineage: Eukaryota; Viridiplantae; Streptophyta; Magnoliopsida; Arecales; Arecaceae
Description: long non-coding RNA (EGUI_LNC035134)
Source: RNAcentral